This 68-nucleotide transfer RNA is filed under the name Tetraloides nigrifrons. RNAcentral's name for it is "tRNA-Ile". Lineage: Eukaryota; Metazoa; Arthropoda; Malacostraca; Decapoda; Tetraliidae. The record is from RNAcentral.
AAUAUAAUGCCUGAUUCAAAAGGAUAGCUUUGAUAGAGCUAAUAAUGUAAAUUAUUUUACUUAUAUUA